UCCCUGGUGGCUUGGGCGGUGAAGAAUCUGCCUCCAAUGCAGGAGACCCAGGUUCGAGAUCCCUGGCUCGGGAA
This 74-nucleotide transfer RNA is filed under the name Ovis aries (sheep). It matches the Rfam family "tRNA". Rfam says of the family: Transfer RNA (tRNA) molecules are approximately 80 nucleotides in length. Their secondary structure includes four short double-helical elements and three loops (D, anti-codon, and T loops). Further hydrogen bonds mediate the characteristic L-shaped molecular structure. tRNAs have two regions of fundamental functional importance: the anti-codon, which is responsible for specific mRNA codon recognition, and the 3' end, to which the tRNAs corresponding amino acid is attached (by aminoacyl-tRNA synthetases). tRNAs cope with the degeneracy of the genetic code in two manners: having more than one tRNA (with a specific anti-codon) for a particular amino acid; and 'wobble' base-pairing, i.e. permitting non-standard base-pairing at the 3rd anti-codon position. The record is from Rfam by way of RNAcentral. Lineage: Eukaryota; Metazoa; Chordata; Mammalia; Artiodactyla; Bovidae.